AGCAGCCUCAGAGCUCCACGGGUCCCUACGCGCUUAGCACAUGCGCGCAGGCCCCGCUCCCGCUUCCUCCACUUCCUCCAGCUCCCAGCGUCCGGACAGCCGCCGCCGCCGCCGCCGCCAAGGAGUCAGGAAGUUCAAGAUGGCCGCCGCGGAGCCCCAGGCGCUGCGGGAACAGCCCGAGAUGGAAGAUGCUGAUAAUUCUGAGAAAAGUGUAAAUGAAGAAAAUGGAGAAGUAUCAGAAGAUCAAUCUCAAAAUAAGCACAGUCGUCACAAAAAAAAGAAGCAUAAACACAGAAGUAAACAUAAGAAACAUAAACAUUCCUCAGAAGAAGACAAAGAUAAAAAACAUAAACAUAAGCAUAAGCAUAAGAAACAUAAAAGAAAAGAGAUUAUCGAUGCUUCUGACAAAGAAGGUAUGUCUCCAGCAAAAAGAACUAAACUUGAUGAUUUAGCUUUGCUGGAAGACUUAGAAAAACAGAGAGCCUUGAUUAAAGCUGAACUUGAUAAUGAGUUAAUGGAAGGAAAAGUCCAAUCUGGGAUGGGGCUCAUAUUACAAGGUUAUGAGUCUGGCUCAGAAGAAGAAGGGGAGAUUCAUGAAAAGGCAAGAAAUGGAAAUAGGUCUAGUACUAGAUCCUCCAGUGCAAAGGGGAAACUUGAACUUAUGGACAAUAAAAAUAGUACAAAAAAGCGAAGUAAAAGCAGAUCCAAAGAACGGACUAGACAUAGGUCUGAUAAAAAGAAAAGUAAGGUCAGUGCUGAAAUAGUUAAAGAGAAGAUAGCUAGGAGCAAAUCAAAGGAGAGGAAAAAGUCCAAAAGUCCAUCGAAAAGAAGUAAGUCUCAAGAUCAAACAAGAAAGUCAAAAUCUCCCACCCUUAGAAGGCGAUCUCAAGAGAAAAUUGGGAAAGCCAGAUCUCCUGCUGAUGACAAGGUAAAAAUUGAAGAUAAAAGUAAAUCAAAGGAUAGGAAAAAAUCCCCAAUUAUAAAUGAAAGAAGUCGUGACCGAGUCAAAAAAUCCAGAUCCCCGAUUGACUUAAGAGGUAAAUCCAAAGACAGAAGGUCACGUUCCAAAGAAAGAAAAUCAAAACGGUCUGAAACUGAUAGAGAAAAGAAGCCAAUUAAAUCUCCCUCUAAAGAUGCUUCAUCUGGGAAAGAAAACAGGUCACCCAGUAGAAGACCUGGUCGUAGUCCUAAAAGAAGAAGUUUCUCUCCGAAACCACGUGAUAAAUCGAGAAGAAGCAGGUCUCCACUUUUAAAUGACAGGAGGUCUAAGCAGAGCAAGUCACCUUCUCGAACUCUGUCUCCUAGUAGAAGAGCCAGGAGCCGAUCCUUGGAAAGAAAACGAAGAGAACCAGAGAGGCGGCGACUUUCUUCUCCGAGAACACGACCUCGAGAUGACAUCCUCAGUAGACGGGAAAGAUCAAAAGAUGCCAGCCCAAUCAACAGGUGGUCUCCAACCAGAAGAAGAACAAGUAGAUCUCCUAUUAGAAGGAGGUCUCGGUCCCCACUUAGACGUAGCCGAUCUCCAAGAAGAAGAAGCCGAUCUCCCCGGAGAAGAGACAGAGGUCGGAGGAGCCGGUCACGCUUGAGAAGACGGUCUCGAUCACGGGGUGGUCGUAGGCGUAGGAGCAGAAGUAAAGUAAAGGAAGACAAAUUCAAAGGAAGUCUUUCUGAAGGAAUGAAAGUUGAGCAGGAAUCUUCAUCUGAUGAUAACCUUGAAGACUUUGAUGUAGAGGAAGAAGAUGAAGAGGCCCUGAUAGAACAGAGGAGAAUACAGCGGCAGGCAAUUGUUCAGAAAUAUAAGUACCUUGCUGAAGAUAGCAAUAUGUCUGUGCCGUCUGAGCCAAGCAGCCCCCAGAGCAGUACUCGUACACGGUCACCUUCUCCAGAUGACAUUCUGGAAAGGGUGGCUGCUGAUGUCAAAGAGUAUGAACGGGAAAAUGUCGAUACAUUUGAGGCCUCAGUAAAAGCCAAGCAUAAUCUAAUGACCGUCGAACAGAAUAAUGGUUCAUCUCAGAAGAAGCUGUUGGCACCUGAUAUGUUUACAGAGUCUGAUGAUAUGUUUGCUGCAUAUUUUGAUAGUGCUCGUCUUCGGGCUGCUGGCAUUGGGAAAGAUUUCAAAGAGAACCCCAACCUCAGGGAUAACUGGACUGAUGCAGAAGGCUAUUAUCGUGUGAACAUAGGGGAAGUCCUGGACAAGCGUUACAAUGUGUAUGGCUACACCGGCCAGGGUGUGUUCAGUAAUGUGGUGCGAGCCCGAGAUAAUGCACGAGCCAACCAGGAAGUGGCCGUAAAGAUCAUCAGAAACAACGAACUCAUGCAAAAAACUGGUUUAAAGGAACUAGAAUUCUUGAAAAAACUUAAUGAUGCUGAUCCUGAUGACAAAUUUCAUUGUUUACGACUCUUCAGACACUUUUAUCACAAGCAGCACCUCUGUCUCGUAUUUGAGCCUCUCAGUAUGAAUUUACGAGAGGUGUUAAAAAAAUAUGGUAAAGAUGUUGGUCUUCAUAUUAAAGCUGUAAGAUCCUAUAGUCAGCAGUUGUUCUUGGCAUUGAAACUCCUUAAAAGAUGUAACAUCCUACAUGCGGACAUCAAGCCAGACAAUAUCCUGGUUAAUGAAUCAAAAACUAUUUUAAAGCUCUGCGAUUUUGGGUCGGCUUCACAUGUGGCGGAUAAUGACAUAACACCUUAUCUUGUCAGUAGAUUUUACCGUGCUCCUGAGAUCAUUAUAGGUAAAAGCUAUGAUUAUGGUAUAGAUAUGUGGUCUGUAGGUUGUACCUUAUAUGAACUCUAUACUGGAAAAAUUUUAUUUCCUGGCAAAACCAAUAACCAUAUGUUGAAGCUCGCCAUGGAUCUCAAAGGAAAGAUGCCAAAUAAGAUGAUUCGGAAAGGUGUAUUCAAAGACCAGCAUUUUGAUCAAAAUCUCAAUUUCAUGUACAUAGAAGUUGAUAAAGUAACAGAGAGGGAGAAGGUUACUGUCAUGAGCACCAUUAAUCCAACUAAGGACCUGCUGGCUGACUUGAUUGGGUGCCAGCGACUUCCUGAAGACCAGCGCAAAAAAGUACACCAGCUAAAGGACUUGUUGGACCAGAUCCUGAUGUUGGACCCAGCUAAACGGAUUAGCAUCAACCAGGCCCUUCAGCAUGCCUUCAUCCAGGAAAAAAUUUAAACGAGAUGAAGAAGCUCCAAGGGUUUGAGUAAUUAGAUACAAAGACUGAAGAAAUUUCACAGCAGUUUAUUAAUGUAUAUAAACUUAUAAAUAUUUCUCCAGCAAAUUUGAGAAAGCAUGAUAUAUUUGAAUUAACAUCAAGGGUCAUAUUUCUUUUAGAAAUGUUAGUUAAUCUGUUUUGUGUCUUAUGUGAAGUUUUACUGUAGAAUUGUUUUAAUUGCCAAGACUGCACAAAAUUACAGUGCUAAUGUAUAUGGUUGCAGUUCACAUAAAAGACAAAAGCACCUGUUCUGAAACGAGUAGUAAUACUGGGCGGUUGAUUUAUUCUUAGCAGACUUGGCUUCAUUUUGGUCUUCACAGAAAAUGGCCAGCAUAAAUGCUGUUUAUAUUCACGUUUUCCUAGGUGUGUGUGUGCAGGCCACAGCAGCAUGCCCUUGGUGUAGUCAGUGCCGAAAGGGGUCUGUUCCUUCUUGAGCCUGCCUGCAGGGAUGGUCUCCUCUUUUAAAGCAGGUUGUGUACAACAUUCAGUACACUGAAGGUAAGCUAACCCAUCAACAUCACGGUGUUUUAAGAUGUUAUUUUAUUGGAACAAUUGACAAAUGAGGGAUAUUAGCUUUGUGGCAGAAUUCCCUGCAUGUGUGAUAAUUGAUCUUGUUUUAUUUUUGGCAUUGCGACUGUGGCAUAGUUACAAUUUCUGUUCUGUUCAUCACAUUUAAAAUUGGACGAGUAUGCGCUUGAUGGAUAGAGCGCCUUCAGUGUACUGUUUCUUACUAACUUAAUUUUUUUUAAAUCAACUUGCUAUAGACUUUAUAUACAUUUUGUUAAAUACAGUUCCUUAGUAAUAGAAACUGCGUAGUUUUCAUUUACUGAUGACAAAUGUUGAGGCCUAAUUCUGAAAGUCCUCAUAUUUAAAAGUUAGAUAGACAACAUAAUGAAAUUUUUAACUAUUUGUAUGUCAUUUUGAAAGUGUAAUGCUUUAUGGUAAAAGUGUUUUCAUUUGUUCAUUGUUUUCAUUAUUUGUGAUCAUGUUGUCUUUCAAUACAGGCGUAACCCUUCUACUCUUGAACAAAGCAGCUGCUUUUUAAAAGCGAGAAAAGGAAAGCGGGCACAGGCCAUGCGACGCCUUCUCCCAGGGUCUGAUUUGCUGAGACACCAGCUUCACCUUCUUAACAAGGUGCAGCUCAGUGGAAGAUGAUGACAACCAGAAGACAUGAGCUAAGGUUUCUGUCCUAUAAAAGAUUAAAAAAAAAAAAGAAUCUUCCAUUUUUGUCUAAUUUUUUGGUUUUCAGCAUUAUGAUUUGGGUUUCAUUAAUGUUUGAUUUAGAAUAGCUGUGCUCUUGUGGUGUCAUCUGUAAAGUGCUUGUUUAUCAUGUUUCCUGCCCGCCCUCCUCUCUUCCCUGAGGUAGUAUAGUGGUCAGGGCCUGUGGUGCCAAGGUGCUGGCUGGGAGCUCCUGCCCACAGGUUCGUCACAGUGGGUGGCUAAGAUUUACUAGAAGAGCAGUGACCCCCGAAAGGUGAGCUCAGCUUUAGGCAUCAUAUCGCUGACAUAUGCAGAGGAACCCUAUAAGAAUUUUAAGUUCAUUCAUGAUUCAGUUUCUUUAAUACCCUGUUUUCCAGUUUACCUUUCAGUAACUUCUAAUCAAUGCUCUCGUCAUGAUUUUAAAAGACUAUUCUGAGCCAGUGUCAGUUUUGCUUCUCAAGGGAAAUGAGAUGAUCUCUUGUAGGUUAUCACUCAUGUGACAUAAUCUUUAUAUACAUUAAGUUUGUGAUUUUGCUAAGACAAAUUUGGAAUUCUGUGACCUCUGUUAAAAUAAGGUCGUUUAGUAAUGAAUCAUUCAGGUUUCAAACCUGCAUUCAUGUUUCAGGGUAACUAAUAUUUGAACUCAAUUAUAAAGUCUUUGCUUUAUUUUACCCGAUGGCUAAAAUGUUAUUGAGUGGCUGUCAGGCUUCAGACUUCUUAAGACAUAGCCCUCAGAGAGGUCGUUGUUCUUUUUUUAGUUGGAGGAAUAGUUGAGAUCUAAGAGCAUAUACACCUUAGGUAGAGCUUCUGAAGGUUGUUAGAAAUUAGGUUAGAAUUCUGAGGUUUGGACAGGAAGAAACGUCAUGAUAGAGAUCUUAAGACCCUCCUAGUAUUUGUAUUCACCUUCAAACCCUCAUGAGUAGCAUCCUACUUCUUUCCCCUAAUGCUUCUCUUUCUCGUUCCAUUCUACUAUCGCAAAAUAAUUUUGUUUUAAAACAAUAUAAUUUUUACCUUUUCCCAUUAUGGUUACCAUUUAUCCCCCUAACAAAAACAAAAUACACAGGGCAUUUAACCGUAUGAAAAAUUUUUAUAUACUGUUUUAUAAAAUAUGUGAAUAGAAGUAAUGACAUGUAUUAUUUUCAGAUUUGUCCCAUAUUUGCAUUCCUUCUAUGCUUUACCUGUACUCCUGUAAGUAGAAUUCCAGUUGGCUAAGGGCUAGAUAAAUAUAAAAUCUCUGAAGCGAGAUAAAGGAAUUCAUAGAACUUAAAACUUAGGCCAGGCAUUUGGGAAUGCCCUUGUCAAUGCUGGUGAUAGGGAGGAAGCUCGAUACUCAGAUCCGUAAUUUCCUUCCAUUCACUGGAAAUUGGGCUUCAUAAGGUGCUCUCUCCACAGUGUCCUAGUUCAUGCAAAUAUGGCACAGGAACUUUACUUUCCUAGAUGGGGUAUCCUUAUAAGAGCUCACUACAAAUUCAUUUGUGUUUCUUACAUGUCAAUAAUGUACACUAAAUUUAUUCUUUAAAUGUUUUCCAGUUAUUUUGGUAGAUAGCAUCAUGGCAUCUUUAAUUUUUCUUCUCCUUCUAUAUAUAGGGUAAGGGACUGUUCUUCUGAAGAAUCUUUCCAUUUAGUGAUCAAGAUAUGGAAGCUGAUCUCUGAAAAUGUGUAUCCUAAUUGUCUCUGGUAUCAUUUGAACUGUAACCUUUUGAGCAGCAAUGUUCCCCAUUGACUUACUGGGAAAACGGAAUAAAGUCUUCCUUGUUGGAAUGUUGUCUCCUGAUUUUUCCUUUGCUUGCUUGGUAUUUUACUUUAGUUUUAAAUUAAAAACCCCUGUCCUGCCUGAUAUUUCUUAAAAAUUCUCUUUUCCCUGAUGUUCAUAGAUGUGCUUUGGAAGUCCGCUCAGAUACAAUUGUGAACCGCCAGGUAGAUACAUUCAUGUCACAAAUUCUCGACACCUGA
RNA transcript from Talpa occidentalis (Iberian mole), 6359 nucleotides. It is a transcript of the gene named pre-mRNA processing factor 4B, with no coding region annotated. Lineage: Eukaryota; Metazoa; Chordata; Mammalia; Eulipotyphla; Talpidae. The record is from RefSeq and is a predicted model, not a curated record. The transcript has 17 exons.